GGGUGCUUAGCUCAGUCGGUAGAGCGGCGCCCUUACAAGGCGUAGGUCGGGAGUUCGAGCCUCUCAGCACCCA
This 73-nucleotide transfer RNA is filed under the name Sphaerotilus hippei. It matches the Rfam family "tRNA". Rfam says of the family: Transfer RNA (tRNA) molecules are approximately 80 nucleotides in length. Their secondary structure includes four short double-helical elements and three loops (D, anti-codon, and T loops). The record is from Rfam by way of RNAcentral. Lineage: Bacteria; Pseudomonadati; Pseudomonadota; Betaproteobacteria; Burkholderiales; Sphaerotilaceae.